CGGGAUUGCCCCAGUAACGGCGAGUGAAGCGGCAGCAGCUCAAAUUUGAAAUCCGACCCCACCCGGGGUCCGAGUUGUAAUUUGUAGAGGAUGCUUCGGGUGGAUGGUCCCGCCUAAGUCCCUUGGAACAGGGUGUCAUAGAGGGUGAGAAUCCCGUCUGUGGUGGGUACCUGACCCCGUCAGAAGCUCCUUCGACGAGUCGAGUUGUUUGGGAUUGCAGCUCUAAACGGGUGGUAAAUUUCAUCUAAAGCUAAAUACCGGCCGGAGACCGAUAGCGCACAAGUAGAGUGAUCGAAAGAUGAAAAGCACUUUGGAAAGAGAGUCAAACAGUAUGUGAAAUUGUUGAAAGGGAAGCGCCUGCGACCAGACCUGUCUGCGGGCGAUCACCCGCCGUUCUCGGCGGGGUACUCGUCCGUCAGCAGGCCAGCGUCGGUUUCGGCGGCCGGACAAAGCCCCCGGGAACUGUACCUACCCUCCGGGGAAGGCUUAUAGCCCGGGGUGAAAUACGACCAGCCGGGACCGAGGACCGCGCUUCGGCUAGGACGCUGGCGUAAUGGCCGUAGGCGGCCCGUCUUGAAACACGGACCAAGGAGUCUAACAUCUAUGCGAGUGUUUGGGCGUCAAACCCACGCGCGCAAUGAAAGUGAACGGAGGUGGGAACCCUUCCGGGCGCACCAUCGACCGAUCCAGAUGUCUUCGGAUGGAUUUGAGUAUGAGCAUAGCCGUUAGGACCCGAAAGACGGUGAACUACACAUGGAUAGGGUGAAGCCAGAGGAAACUCUGGUGGAGGCUCGCAGCGGUUCUGACGUGCAAAUCGAUCGUCAAAUCAGUGUGUAGGGGCGAAAGACUAAUCGAACCGUCUGGUAGCUGGUUUCGGCCGAAGUUUCCCUCAGGAUAGCAGUAACGUGUUCAGUUUUAUGAGGUAAAGCGAAUGAUUAGAGGCCUUGGGGGUGUAACGCCCUUAACCUAUUCUCAAACUUUAAAUAUGUAAGAAGUCCUUGUUGCUUGGUUGAACGUGGACAUUCGAAUGCACCGUUACUAGUGGGCCAUUUUUGGUAAGCAGAACCGGCGAUGCGGGAUGAACCGAACGUGAGGUUAAGGUGCCGGAAUGCACGCUCAUCAGACACCACAAAAAGUGUUAGUUCAUCCAGACAGCCGGACGGUGGCCAUGGAAGUCGGAACCCGCUAAGGAGUGUGUAACAACCCACCGGCCGAAUGAACUAGCCUUGAAAAUGGAUGGCGCUCAAGCGUGCUACCCAUACCUCACCGCCAGGGUAGAAGCGAUGCCCUGGCGAGUAGGCCGACGUGGAGGUCCGUGACGAAGC
RNAcentral lists this ribosomal RNA (1325 nucleotides) under Solenopsora sp. 2 AG-2013. RNAcentral describes it as "partial large subunit ribosomal RNA". It matches the Rfam family "Eukaryotic large subunit ribosomal RNA", at positions 70 to 1409 of the family's 3401-position model. Lineage: Eukaryota; Fungi; Ascomycota; Lecanoromycetes; Lecanorales; Catillariaceae. The record is from RNAcentral.